GAACCUGCGGAAGGAUCAUUACCGAGUUUUCGAGCUCCGGCUCGACUCUCCCACCCUUUGUGAACGUACCUCUGUUGCUUUGGCGGCUCCGGCCGCCAAAGGACCUUCAAACUCCAGUCAGUAAACGCAGACGUCUGAUAAACAAGUUAAUAAACUAAAACUUUCAACAACGGAUCUCUUGGUUCUGGCAUCGAUGAAGAACGCAGCGAAAUGCGAUAAGUAAUGUGAAUUGCAGAAUUCAGUGAAUCAUCGAAUCUUUGAACGCACAUUGCGCCCCUUGGUAUUCCGGGGGGCAUGCCUGUUCGAGCGUCAUUACAACCCUCAAGCUCUGCUUGGAAUUGGGCACCGUCCUCACUGCGGACGCGCCUCAAAGACCUCGGCGGUGGCUGUUCAGCCCUCAAGCGUAGUAGAAUACACCUCGCUUUGGAGCGGUUGGCGUCGCCCGCCGGACGAACCUUCUGAACUUUUCUCAAGGUUGACCUCGGAUCAGGUAGGGAUACCCGCUGAACUUAAGCAUAUCAAUAAG
This 526-nucleotide ribosomal RNA is filed under the name Lasiodiplodia theobromae. RNAcentral's name for it is "eukaryotic LSU rRNA". The stretch from base 159 to 312 matches the Rfam family "5.8S ribosomal RNA". Lineage: Eukaryota; Fungi; Ascomycota; Dothideomycetes; Botryosphaeriales; Botryosphaeriaceae. The record is from RNAcentral.